GAGUAACACGUGGGUAACCUACCUAUAAGACUGGGAUAACUCCGGGAAACCGGGGCUAAUACCGGAUAAUAUUUUGAACCGCAUGGUUCAAUAGUGAAAGACGGUUUCGGCUGUCACUUAUAGAUGGACCCGCGCCGUAUUAGCUAGUUGGUAAGGUAACGGCUUACCAAGGCGACGAUACGUAGCCGACCUGAGAGGGUGAUCGGCCACACUGGAACUGAGACACGGUCCAGACUCCUACGGGAGGCAGCAGUAGGGAAUCUUCCGCAAUGGGCGAAAGCCUGACGGAGCAACGCCGCGUGAGUGAUGAAGGUCUUCGGAUCGUAAAACUCUGUUGUUAGGGAAGAACAAAUUUGUUAGUAACUGAACAUGUCUUGACGGUACCUAACCAGAAAGCCACGGCUAACUACGUGCCAGCAGCCGCGGUAAUACGUAGGUGGCAAGCGUUAUCCGGAAUUAUUGGGCGUAAAGCGCGCGUAGGCGGUUUCUUAAGU
This 494-nucleotide ribosomal RNA is filed under the name Mammaliicoccus sciuri. Its description in RNAcentral is "bacterial SSU rRNA". It matches the Rfam family "Bacterial small subunit ribosomal RNA", at positions 108 to 588 of the family's 1533-position model. The record is from RNAcentral. Lineage: Bacteria; Bacillati; Bacillota; Bacilli; Caryophanales; Staphylococcaceae.